AAAAAAAAAUGGUUUGAAAACUUUUCAAUAAUUUUCUGUCCAUAUACAAAGCAAAUUUACAUAUGUAAAGAAUUAUCGCAGCAUGCCAACUCGAAAGCAAAGUUUCAAUGUAACUUCAAAAUCUUAAAAAUACAAUACAGGAACAUGUUUCAAUUUCAACAUAAACCACCGCUAAAGGUCGUGUUUCUUGUUAUAGAAUGAGGGAUGAACAUAAUCAUUGUUACCAACCCUUGCUUGAAAAUGGAAUGUGAUGGCUCUCUCAAUUUUGAUCUCUUGUAGCUUCAAUAUAAGCUAAGUAUGUUUUCCACCAUUUGCCACCAAAACAUCUUCAACCAAUCUUAAAGGUGUGAAGACCAAAACCUUUUCAAUUUUCCACUUUUCUUAUCAAGCAUAUCCGAUAAAAUUCACCGUG
This 412-nucleotide long non-coding RNA is filed under the name Trifolium pratense (red clover). Its description in RNAcentral is "long non-coding RNA (TPRA_LNC014140)". Lineage: Eukaryota; Viridiplantae; Streptophyta; Magnoliopsida; Fabales; Fabaceae. The record is from RNAcentral.